UACGUAGGUGACAAGCGUUGUCCGGAUUUACUGGGCGUAAAGAGCGCGCAGGCGGUCGAUCAAGUCGAGUGUGAAAGCCCCCCGGCUCAACUGGGGAGGGUCAUUCGAUACUGAUCGACUCGAAGGCAGGAGAGGGUAGUGGAAUUCCCGGUGUAGUGGUGAAAUGCGUAGAUAUCGGGAGGAACACCAGUGGCGAAGGCAGCUCGCUGGGACGUGACUGACGCUGAGGAGCGAAAGCGUGGGGAUCAAACAGG
RNAcentral lists this ribosomal RNA (254 nucleotides) under uncultured bacterium. Its description in RNAcentral is "partial 16S ribosomal RNA". It matches the Rfam family "Bacterial small subunit ribosomal RNA", at positions 524 to 776 of the family's 1533-position model. The record is from RNAcentral.